GUGAUAGAGGCGCGGGAAACAUCAGUAGCGCGGCGGAGGACUUCGGAGGUCCCGAGAAGCCGCUCAAAAGGGUUUUUCGCCGAAGGGGCCCUUUUCCGGAUGCAAGGGCCGCCUGGGCACAGAUGCGAACAGGUCUGUGACUGUCAUCAGAAUACUGAUGUUGAGCUGUCG
RNAcentral lists this non-coding RNA (171 nucleotides) under human gut metagenome. RNAcentral's name for it is "Lysine riboswitch". It matches the Rfam family "Lysine riboswitch aptamer". Rfam says of the family: Riboswitches are metabolite binding domains within certain messenger RNAs that serve as precision sensors for their corresponding targets. Allosteric rearrangement of mRNA structure is mediated by ligand binding, and this results in modulation of gene expression. The record is from RNAcentral.